This 271-nucleotide ribosomal RNA is filed under the name uncultured archaeon. RNAcentral describes it as "partial 16S ribosomal RNA". It matches the Rfam family "Archaeal small subunit ribosomal RNA", at positions 477 to 747 of the family's 1478-position model. The record is from RNAcentral.
CAGCGCCACAAGUGGCAAUCACGUUUAUUGGGCCUAAAGCGUCCGUAGCCGGUUUAGCAAAUCUUUUGUGAAAUCGUCAGGCUUAACUUGACGAAUUGCAGAAGACACUACUAAACUAGGGACUGGGAGGAGUCAGAAGUAUUCUGGGGGGACCGGUAAAAUGGUAUAAUCCCCAGAGGACUACCGAUGGCGAAGGCAUCCGACCAGAACAGAUCCGACGGUGAGGGACGAAAGCCAGGGGAGCAAACCGGAUUAGAUACCCGCGUAGUCC